GACGAACGCUGGCGGCGUGCUUAACACAUGCAAGUCGAACGGUGAACCUCUUCGUGGGGGUUCAGUGGCGAACGGGUGAGUAACACGUGGGCAACCUGCUCCCGGCUCUGGGAUAACUCCAAGAAAUUGGGGCUAAUACCGGAUGUUCACCGCUUCCCGCAUGGGUGGUGGUGAAACGGGUUUCCGGCUGGGGAUGGGCCCGCGGCCUAUCAGCUUGUUGGUUGGGGAGUGGCCAUCCAAGGCGACGAAGGCGUGCCUGCCCGGGAGGGUGGACAGCGACCAUGGGACUGAGAGACGGAGCAGAGUCCAACGGGAGGCAGCAGUGGGGAAUAUUGCGCAACGGGCGGAAGCGUGACGCAGCGAUGCCGCGUGGGGGAUGACGGCCUUCGGGGUGUAAACCGCUUUCAGCAGGGACGAAGCGCAAGUGACGGUACCUGCAGAAGAAGCACCGGCUAACUACGUG
Molecule: ribosomal RNA, 463 nt
Filed under: uncultured bacterium
Lineage: Bacteria
Description: partial 16S ribosomal RNA
Rfam family: Bacterial small subunit ribosomal RNA
Source: RNAcentral